AACCCAUGGUGAGGGCACCUUCUCAAUAGAUCCUUGUAUCUCUCCCAUGCAUCGUAAAGUGUUUCUAAUUCCAUCUGCACAAAAGAAGAGAUAUCAUUGCGCAAUUU
Gossypium arboreum is the source of this 107-nucleotide non-coding RNA. Lineage: Eukaryota; Viridiplantae; Streptophyta; Magnoliopsida; Malvales; Malvaceae. The record is from Rfam.